GAAAUGCGAUAAGUAAUGUGAAUUGCAGAAUUCAGUGAAUCAUCGAAUCUUUGAACGCACAUUGCGCUCGCCAGUAUUCUGGCGAGCAUGCCUGUUCGAGCGUCAUUUCAACCAUCAAGCUCUGCUUGCGUUGGGGAUCCGCGGCUGCCCGCGGUCCCUCAAAAACAGUGGCAGGCUCGCUAGUCACACCGAGCGUAGUAACUCUACAUCGCUAUGGUCGUGCGGCGGGUUCUUGCCGUAAAACCCCCAAUUUCUAAGGUUGACCUCGGAUCAGGUAGGAAUACCCGCUGAACUUAAGC
Molecule: unclassified non-coding RNA, 299 nt
Filed under: plant metagenome
Description: partial contains 5.8S ribosomal RNA, internal transcribed spacer 2, and large subunit ribosomal RNA
Rfam family: 5.8S ribosomal RNA (bases 1-105)
Source: RNAcentral